Molecule: ribosomal RNA, 440 nt
Filed under: uncultured bacterium
Lineage: Bacteria
Description: bacterial SSU rRNA
Rfam family: Bacterial small subunit ribosomal RNA
Source: RNAcentral
AACGCGAAGAACCUUACCAGGUCUUGACAUCCUCUGACAACCCUAGAGAUAGGGCUUUCCCUUCGGGGACAGAGUGACAGGUGGUGCAUGGUUGUCGUCAGCUCGUGUCGUGAGAUGUUGGGUUAAGUCCCGCAACGAGCGCAACCCUUGAUCUUAGUUGCCAGCAUUUAGUUGGGCACUCUAAGGUGACUGCCGGUGACAAACCGGAGGAAGGUGGGGAUGACGUCAAAUCAUCAUGCCCCUUAUGACCUGGGCUACACACGUGCUACAAUGGAUAGUACAAAGGGUUGCAAGACCGCGAGGUGGAGCUAAUCCCAUAAAACUAUUCUCAGUUCGGAUUGUAGGCUGCAACUCGCCUACAUGAAGCCGGAAUCACUAGUAAUCGCGGAUCAGCAUGCCGCGGUGAAUACGUUCCCGGGCCUUGUACACACCGCUACAGU